GAUGAAGAACGCAGCGAAAUGCGAUACGUAAUGUGAAUUGCAGAAUUCAGUGAAUCAUCGAAUCUUUGAACGCAUAUUGCGCUCUCUGGUAUUCCGGAGAGCAUGCUUGUUUGAGUAUCAGUAAACACCUCAACUUCCAUAUCUUUUUUGAAAUGGGAGUUGGACUUGAGUGAUCCCAACGCUUUUCCUCACCGAAAAGUGGCGGGUUACUUGAAAUGCAGGUGCAGCUGGACUUUUCUCUGAGCUAUAAGCAUAUCUAUUUAGUCUGCCUAAAAAACAGAUUAUUACCUUUGCUGCAGCUAACAUAAAUGAGAUUAGUUCUUGUGCUGACUGAUGCAGGAUUCACAAAGACGGCUUCGGCCGACUUUGUAAACUCGAUCUCAAAUCAAGUAAGACUACCCGCUGAACUUAAGCAUAUCAAUAAGCGGAGGA
This 432-nucleotide unclassified non-coding RNA is filed under the name soil metagenome. RNAcentral describes it as "partial contains 5.8S ribosomal RNA, internal transcribed spacer 2, and large subunit ribosomal RNA". The stretch from base 1 to 120 matches the Rfam family "5.8S ribosomal RNA", at positions 35 to 154 of the family's 154-position model. The record is from RNAcentral.